RNAcentral lists this long non-coding RNA (211 nucleotides) under Lathyrus oleraceus (garden pea). RNAcentral describes it as "Pisum sativum (pea) long non-coding RNA (PSAT_LNC021943)". The record is from RNAcentral. Lineage: Eukaryota; Viridiplantae; Streptophyta; Magnoliopsida; Fabales; Fabaceae.
UUAAACUUUCCAAAAAGCGAAAAAGAACUAACUCAUUCAAAUCAUUUUCAGGCCUUUGUGCCUUUCAAACUUAAAUUUUGUUAAAAUCAAUGCAUCCACUUUGAAAUUUGUAGCACGAACUAUGAGGUUUUGAUCCCUCAUUUUUAUGUUGGUACGUAGGCACAAGAACGAAGAUCUUGUCAAACACCAAAAUAUAAUUAAUGAAUUCUUU